ACGGAAGAAGAAGAUCUCGUCUCGCGGCGAUGACGUCACCGCCCGCGCCUCACGCAGUCCGCGUCGAGUCUUCUGAGGAGCGGCGAGCAGUUCACGAUCUGCUGCUUCCACAUCAAAUUCAUGUUCAGUGAAGCUCCUCCCAUAUCGAUCACACCGACAGUGAUUUCAGCAAUAAAUGCUGGAAUAUCUCCAUCAGUUCAGAAGUGCAGACGAGCAUCAGAGCAUCAGGAAGAGCUGGAAUCUGGGUUUAUUAAAGAGGACGGAGAGAAGAUGAGAGACCCAGAGCCCUGCAGAAUCAAACACACUGAAGAACUAAA
This is a long non-coding RNA of Sinocyclocheilus anshuiensis, 317 nucleotides long. RefSeq lists it as uncharacterized. The record is from RefSeq and is a predicted model, not a curated record. NCBI's taxonomy places the organism in Eukaryota, Metazoa, Chordata, Actinopteri, Cypriniformes, Cyprinidae. The transcript is spliced from 2 exons.